ACAAACUUGGUCAUUUAGAGGAAGUAAAAGUCGUAACAAGGUUUCCGUAGGUGAACCUGCGGAAGGAUCAUUACCGAGUGUAAAACCCCCUAAAAAAGGGGGGUUACCUCCCGUCCUUUGCUGGGUCCCCCCUAAACUAUAAAAGUUUGGGGGAAGGACUUUUUCAAACCUUCUGCUUUGGUGGGCAAACCUAGGUUCUUACCCGGGACCCACCAGAACAACUUCAUAAAAAAUUCUUUAAAAUUGUUCAGUCCGAGAAAUUUUUCAAAAAAUCGUAAAAACUUUCAACAACGGAUCUCUUGGUUCUGGCAUCGAUGAAGAACGCAGC
This 328-nucleotide unclassified non-coding RNA is filed under the name uncultured fungus. RNAcentral describes it as "partial contains small subunit ribosomal RNA, internal transcribed spacer 1, and 5.8S ribosomal RNA". The stretch from base 1 to 73 matches the Rfam family "Eukaryotic small subunit ribosomal RNA", at positions 1759 to 1831 of the family's 1831-position model. Lineage: Eukaryota; Fungi. The record is from RNAcentral.